This 525-nucleotide ribosomal RNA is filed under the name uncultured delta proteobacterium. RNAcentral describes it as "bacterial SSU rRNA". It matches the Rfam family "Bacterial small subunit ribosomal RNA", at positions 9 to 524 of the family's 1533-position model. The record is from RNAcentral. Lineage: Bacteria; Deltaproteobacteria.
GAGUUUGAUCAUGGCUCAGAACGAACGCUGGCGGCGUGCCUAACACAUGCAAGUCGAACGAGAAUGCAGGCUUCGGUCUGCUAGUAAAGUGGCGCACGGGUGAGUAACACGUGGGUAACGUACAUCGUAGUGGGGGAUAACCAGGUGAAAGCUUGGCUAAUACCGCAUGAGUCUGUCGGGACGCGAGUCCUGACAGGGAAAGUGGAGCAAUCCACGCUACGAGAUCGGCCCGCGGCCCAUUAGCUAGUUGGCGGGGUAACGGCCCACCAAGGCGACGAUGGGUAGCUGGUCUGAGAGGAUGAUCAGCCACACUGGAACUGAGACACGGUCCAGACUCCUACGGGAGGCAGCAGUGGGGAAUUUUGCGCAAUGGGCGAAAGCCUAACGCAGCAACGCCGCCGUGUGUGACGAAGGCCCUAGGGUUGUAAAGCACUGUGGGAGGGGAGAAAAACGGGGGUUGUACCCCGUCUUGACGGUACCCUGUUAGAAAGCACCGGCUAACUCCGUGCCAGCAGCCGCCGUAAG